UUAAAAGUUACGAUAAGGACAUGAUUAUUUUGGAUACAUAUAGAUUAGAGAGGGAAGUCGUUUGGCUGAAAGCUUCCUCUAUAGGCCUGAAUAAUUACCACCUUUGAACUCUUUUCCAGAAGUUAUAGUAAGGAAUAGCGUAUCAUCUGCGUUAAAGAUGUAGAGCCGCUAAUUUUAGCGGGAACUAGGGUGGAACCACGAACUAUUAUACUACGCUCGUCCCUUUU
Molecule: non-coding RNA, 227 nt
Filed under: Bacilli bacterium
Lineage: Bacteria; Bacillati; Bacillota; Bacilli
Description: T-box sequence
Rfam family: T-box leader
About the family: Uncharged tRNA acts as the effector for transcription antitermination of genes in the T-box leader family. T-boxes are found upstream of many aminoacyl-tRNA synthetase genes and some amino acid biosynthetic genes usually in Gram-positive bacteria.
Source: RNAcentral